RNAcentral lists this ribosomal RNA (253 nucleotides) under uncultured bacterium. Its description in RNAcentral is "partial 16S ribosomal RNA". It matches the Rfam family "Bacterial small subunit ribosomal RNA", at positions 524 to 776 of the family's 1533-position model. The record is from RNAcentral.
UACAGAGGUCCCAAGCGUUGUUCGGAUUCACUGGGCGUAAAGGGUGCGCAGGGGGGCUGGUAAGUUCGAUGUGAAAGCCCCGGGCUUAACCCGGGAAAGGCAUUGGAUACUACUGGUCUGGAGGAUUGGAGGGGGGACUGGAAUUCUUGGUGUAGCAGUGAAAUGCGUAGAUAUCAAGAGGAACACCAGUGGCGAAGGCGCGUCCCUGGACAAUACCUGACACUGAGGCACGAAAGCCAAGGGAGCAAACAGG